CAGUCUGCAACUCGAGUGCAUGAAGCUGGAAUCGCUAGUAAUCGCGGAUCAGAAUGCCGCGGUGAAUACGUUCCCGGGUCUUGUACACACCGCCCGUCACACCAUGGGAGUCGGGAAUGCCCGAAGCCGGUGGCCCAAUCGUAAGAAGGGAGCCGUCGAAGGCAGGCCGGAUGACUGGGGUGAAGUCGUAACAAGGUAAC
This 200-nucleotide ribosomal RNA is filed under the name uncultured bacterium. RNAcentral's name for it is "partial 16S ribosomal RNA". It matches the Rfam family "Bacterial small subunit ribosomal RNA", at positions 1301 to 1500 of the family's 1533-position model. The record is from RNAcentral.